This 727-nucleotide ribosomal RNA is filed under the name uncultured prasinophyte. RNAcentral's name for it is "SSU rRNA". It matches the Rfam family "Eukaryotic small subunit ribosomal RNA", at positions 616 to 1346 of the family's 1831-position model. Lineage: Eukaryota; Viridiplantae; Chlorophyta. The record is from RNAcentral.
CAGUUAAAGCUCGUAGUUGGAUUUUGGUUAAGAGGGCGCGGUCGGCCGUUUGGUCUGUACUGCGUUGUCUUGACUUCCUGAUGAGGACAUGCUCUUGGUUAACGCUGAGACAUGGAGUCAUCGUGGUUACUUUGAAAAAAUUAGAGUGUUCAAAGCGGGCUUACGCUUGAAUAUAUUAGCAUGGAAUAACACUAUAGGACUCCUGUCCUAUCUCGUUGGUCUCGGGAUGGGAGUAAUGAUUAAGAGGAACAGUUGGGGGCAUUCGUAUUUCAUUGUCAGAGGUGAAAUUCUUGGAUUUAUGAAAGACGAACUUCUGCGAAAGCAUUUGCCAAGGAUGUUUUCAUUAAUCAAGAACGAAAGUUGGGGGCUCGAAGAUGAUUAGAUACCAUCCUAGUCUCAACCAUAAACGAUGCCGACUAGGGAUUGGUGGAUGUUAAUUGAUGACUUCACCAGCACCUUAUGAGAAAUCAAAGUUUUUGGGUUCCGGGGGGAGUAUGGUCGCAAGGCUGAAACUUAAAGGAAUUGACGGAAGGGCACCACCAGGCGUGGAGCCUGCGGCUUAAUUUGACUCAACACGGGGAAACUUACCAGGUCCAGACAUAAGUAUGAUUGACAGAUUGAGAGCUCUUUCUUGGAUCUAUUGGUGGGUGGGUGGCAUGGCCGUUUCUUAGUUGGGGUGGGAUGAUUUUGUCCUGGGUUUAAUUCCGUUAACGAACGGAGACCUCAG